Molecule: ribosomal RNA, 305 nt
Filed under: uncultured bacterium
Lineage: Bacteria
Description: bacterial SSU rRNA
Rfam family: Bacterial small subunit ribosomal RNA
Source: RNAcentral
GCCUACGGGAGGCAGCAGUGAGGAAUAUUGGUCAAUGGUCGGGAGACUGAACCAGCCAAGCCGCGUGAGGGAGGAAGGUACAGAGUAUCGUAAACCUCUUUUGUCAGGGAACAAAGGCGGGGACGUGUCCCCGGAUGAGUGUACCUGAAGAAAAAGCAUCGGCUAACUCCGUGCCAGCAGCCGCGGUAAUACGGAGGAUGCGAGCGUUAUCCGGAUUUAUUGGGUUUAAAGGGUUCGCAGGCGGUCUGUUAAGUCAGCGGUCAAAGCCCGGGGCCCAACCCCGGCCCGCCGUUGAAACUGGCAGG